RNAcentral lists this ribosomal RNA (406 nucleotides) under uncultured bacterium. RNAcentral's name for it is "partial 16S ribosomal RNA". It matches the Rfam family "Bacterial small subunit ribosomal RNA", at positions 30 to 526 of the family's 1533-position model. The record is from RNAcentral.
AUUGAACGCUGGCGGCAGGCCUAACACAUGCAAGUCGAACGAGUGGCGGACGGGUGAGUAAUGUCUGGGAAACUGCCUGAUGGAGGGGGAUAACUACUGGAAACGGUAGCUAAUACCGCAUACCAUCGGAUGUGCCCAGAUGGGAUUAGCUAGUAGGUGGGGUAAAGGCUCACCAAGGCGACGACCCCUAGCUGGUCUGAGAGGAUGACCAGACACACUGGAACGAAGACACGGUCAAGACUCCUACGAGAUGCAGCCGUGGGAGAUAUUGCACAAUGGGCGCAAGCCUGAUGCAGCCAUGCCGCGGGUAUGAAGAAGGCCUGCGGGUUGUAAAGUACUUUAAGCGGGGAGGCGUUACCCGCAGAAGAAGCACCGGCUAACUCCGUGCCAGCCGCCGCGGUAAUUC